GUCAGGGCAAAAAGAUGCAGUCAACGAUCGAGCAGGUGGGGAAGUGGAAUUGCUUGCUCCCCAUUAUGAGGGGGCAUUGCAAAGUGAUCAACAUCUCAUGUAGCACUACAUGUGGGAUGCACCCUAUGUAGCACUGAUUCUGUCACAUUCCCUGAAGAAGGCGUUGGAAGUUGUAAAAACUAUGAACCUGGUGGGGGGUGUAGGACUGUAUCUUUCGUGCGGAAGAAGGAUUCACGUUUCUUCACAUGAAUCCACCAUUGAUCAUGCAAUGGUUGCUUCGAGAACUUUGUAAAG
Molecule: long non-coding RNA, 294 nt
Filed under: Elaeis guineensis (African oil palm)
Lineage: Eukaryota; Viridiplantae; Streptophyta; Magnoliopsida; Arecales; Arecaceae
Description: long non-coding RNA (EGUI_LNC006766)
Source: RNAcentral